AUGAUCAUGACUACGUCACCAAGAACCACUUCUUCAUCGCCCAACGAGCUCUACAUCAAGAAAGUGAAGCUUUGGGUGAACGCCUCGAGCAACUCGCCAUCGACCUUCGUCAAAGCAAGGAACCGCGACUACAUUGACGCCAAGUUCACCACACAAAUGGAAGAAUUCCGCAACAUGAUCGUGAGACGCGAGUCUUCCUCAACCUCUUCGCCAAGACGGCGCCACUCAAGUCACCGCUCAAGUCGGCAAUCUUUGGACUACUCCUCUUACGAUGCAAGUCCUCCGCAAGCCCGCUUUCAUCGACGUGAUGAUCCCCAAGGUCGCCAAGCUCAAGAAAAUCCAUUCCAUGGAAAUGGCUUACAAGAUCGAGUUCGAGCACGUGAUAGGGCGCGACGACAAGAGCAAGAAGCAAUGGAGCAAGAGAAAAUACCUCCACAAGUGCAACGUCAAGCACCUCAAGACGGUGAUGCACUCCGACAAGCACAAGAAUGUCGUGAAGCACAAGCACUUGAGCGUGAAGCACAAGCACGUGAAGCACAACGCGCACUCCGCGAGGUCACUAGAGCCGUCGACGAGCACAACCGCCAAGUGCGUGAACAAGAGGAAGCACUCCGUCAAGCACGACAAGAAGAAGCCACCAGAUGCAAAGAGCAACAAGAAAGGCGAAACCAAGCGCAUAUGCCUUGUCCUCCUUGA
RNAcentral lists this ribosomal RNA (696 nucleotides) under Triticum aestivum (bread wheat). Its description in RNAcentral is "partial small subunit ribosomal RNA". Lineage: Eukaryota; Viridiplantae; Streptophyta; Magnoliopsida; Poales; Poaceae. The record is from RNAcentral.